This is a long non-coding RNA of Felis catus (domestic cat), 3841 nucleotides long. RefSeq lists it as uncharacterized. The transcript is spliced from 3 exons. The record is from RefSeq and is a predicted model, not a curated record. Lineage: Eukaryota; Metazoa; Chordata; Mammalia; Carnivora; Felidae.
CAGCAUGUGAUUCCAGAGAUGACAGGCUGCACUACAGACCCCCUCACCAACAGGAAGCAGCUCUCAGAGAAAGUAUCCAUGGAUUAAAAAGAUUUGUGGAGAGAAACCAGCGGUGUGCCUAAUCUGUACAGUCACAGAUGAAUAACACCACAGCAUCAUCUCAUACACAUCGCCUGCAAGAGAGUGGGUCUUGAGAGUUGAAUCAAUGCUGAACACUUUAUUUAGAUUGCAAAUUAUCUCGCUACCUCAGCAGACUGCGAAAUCAACUGGAAGCUUUUCAGCAUUUAAUUAAGGAGGACAAAAGAAAGUCCCAAUAAUAACAGUGUGAAACUGCCACAGAAAAAUUAUGAAUACAAAGGGAGAAAUCAUCAGUAAUUAACCCCAAUCUGAGACUACAGAGGAGACUCCAAAACAAGAGGGGAGCACAUGAAAAUAAUACUAAAUUUACUUGUCUUGAAUAGAUAUAACAGAUUUUUCCCUAAGAUGGCCAACAGGACUGAAAGGGAAAUUCCAGUCCUUGGCUGAAGACUCCCCUCCAGGGUUCUUCUUCCCACCCCGCUUGCUGCGCGUGCCAAAUUACUACUAAUACAGAAUGCGGAAAUAACAUACUAGAAAUUGUUCCUUCUGCUUACGUGGGGGCUCAGACUUCGGGAGAGUGAUCUCCUCUGAACCCACCUGUGUGAAAUAAACCUCCUGCCUUCCAAGAUCUCCAAGUGCUGCCUGGUUCUUCUGCCGGGUGAUCCAGAUCAGAUUCCAUAACAUUUGGUUCCCCAGAAACCCAACUGCACUGGCCCAUUGUUGCCACUGGUUUGGGAAAACAGCGAGGCAGUGAUGCAAUGAGGAGUCACAACAGAGAAGGCGCACCCUGUCUGAUAUUUGGCAGUCUCUGGCUUGGUCGCCUCAGGCCAGCCCCACUCCGCCAUUCCCACUGGACUCAAGGAGACUUGGCAGGUGAGGACCGGGACCCAACAUCGGAUACCGGAACUUUAGAACGAAUCUGGAAAGUGGACACUCCACCCUAAGGAUCAAUGUCCCCACUGUGAGACCAAAAAGAAUGAAUCGUCCUCCAGAAGAUUCAUUUAGAGAUCUGGAAAGAACAAUCUUUGCAAUAUAUUGAGACUUCUGCCAGCUGAAGAGAAGACUGGAAAGUGAAGCAUAGGAGAAUAUGACACCCCAAAAUAUGCUCCUUUGGUGUAGUGAUUAUCUUGAGUUGUAGGCACUUCAAAAUCAGCAAAUACAGGAAGAGGUUUCUGUAAAUGCUCCUGCUAUGUCUCAAAACAGAUCCUUAAAAAAAAACUCACUUGUCAGAAAUCCCUUCCCUGGGGGUUUCAUCAACAGGAAAGACUGACUCUUAUCUUAAGAGAGAGGCUAAGAAAUUGACACCACACUCAGUCAGACUUUAUCAUGAAAGGUCAUACUGCCCACCUGUUCUCGUAAGGGCCCAUUGAUCUUCCCUAAACACCAUUCAGUCUCCCCUAAGAGGCCUACAUCCCCUCUGUCCUUUCAGUAUUAAGAUGGUAUUUCAGUCCGAAUCCUAUGCUACUUUGGGGAGUUAUUCAUUUUUUCCCAGGUAUCUCCCAUGUGUACAUGAGGUAUAUGUGUUAAUAAAUUUCUGUUGGUUUUUUUCUGGUUGAACUUUUAUUACAGGGUCUCAACUAAGAACUCAGAAGGAUAAAGAGAAAAUCAUUCCCCUCACUUACAAAGGCAUAGUCUACUCCUUAUCCACCACAACAACCCAGUAAGGGAAAUAAAGGUGGCAUUAGGUCAGAUCCAAAAGAGCAGAAACCCAAGCCUCUACAUCACUUUGGCUGCCAAAAUGGAAUUUUCAUUUUGUUUGGAAUUCAAAUGUUUUUCUGUCAUUAAUUUGGGGAAUGAUAUUGCUCAAUAGGAAAACAUAUUCAUGUAAAUCCCCAGAAAAACCAGUGAAACCCCACCACAGCACAUAUUCCACAGUAUCUCUUUGGCACAGAGAUUUCUCAGCAGCAUUUUUCACUCCUUUCUAAUGUGGAAAAAGGAUUUACUACAACAGAAGUUUUUCUUUUGGCAGACAUGCUAUAAGUCUGCUAAAGCUUUUUCGUAUGUUAGCUUUUGACCUCAAAUAAUAUCACAAGAGAAAACAUUCACAUGAUCUACUCGAAGCAUAAAAAUGUAGAGAAGAGAAAUAAACCUGAUAUUGAAGAGAAGAUAUUUUGAGCAAGAUUUCUAAUAAUUGAUGAAAUGACAGGCUCUUUUAUGAAAAAGUCUAUAAGUAGGGGUGUGGUGGGAAUGACAUUUGCAAUAAAAAUAUGUUUAUAGCAAAAGGAGAAAUUCUCAGAAUGCUUCUCCAGUUGAGGGAGAUCCCUAAUUACUAAACACCAAGAGGUUGUGGUUUUUACCAACUGCCUUCACCUCCUCCUUAUAAUAGAAAUAUGAGCUCAUUUGUUCUGGCUUGAUCCCCCUGGCCACAAGACACAGAGAGGAAAACAAUACAGUGAGAAUAUGGAGAAACAGGCCAUCCUUGGUACAGUUUGCAAGUUGCCUCAUUUUACCUCUUUGGUAACUAUUUUGUACCCAGUUAAGGUUCUGAAGAAGCAAUGUGAAGUGAGGUAUUGUCAUCAAACAGCUCACCCAGCUCAGUGUAUAGAUGCCAGAUGAUAAUGAUUAAUGUGCUUCCAGAUAACUGUUGAAGGCACACUCACUCCCCAGAAUAAAUCCUUGCAAGUUUGCUAGGGAUUUGCCUCUGAUGGCCAUUGGCCUGCACCUGGUUUUUCUGCACCUGGCCUUAGGAAUCAAAAGCAGCCUGUGCCAGUGAAACACAACUUUUAGGUGAGCCCUAGAACCUCCAGCCAACUCAUUUUCAUCAUAUUCAGGAGAUCAGGGCUACUGGGCAGAGAAGAGAAAGGGGGAACCCAUUCUCUGCUUCUAAUGGGGCACAUGAUUCUCAGACUUUCACGUGCAUCCAGAACACCCAGAGGAACUGCGGAUACACAGACUGCUGGCUCUACUUCUAGGGUUUUUGAUUCAGUGGGUCCGAGAUGAAGCCUGAGAUUUUCCAGGUGAUCCUGAUGUUGCUAGUCUGGGGUCCACACUUUAAGAAUCACUGUAAUAGGGCAGGUUCAAGUGUUUGUGUUCAAGCAACUGCUUUUCUAAGUGCUAUGUUCAGACUUUGCACUUCAAUUACCUGUAAGGGAAAGGGAGGCUCAGAGACCAAGGCUGAAAUAUGUGUGUAGUUUGGGAGCUGGAGGCACUCAGGCCUCUUAAGGCUGGUCAUUCAGAUAGAAUCAUUUGCAGCAACUUGCCUAUAUUAUGAAUCUAUACUUAAUAUCAGUCUUAAAUAUUCUAUAUCAUUUUUAUAGGAGAUGAUUGAGAAGCCAUUUCAGCCAUGAAAACAUUUGGGGCGAAUAAAGGGGAAAAAGGAUCUGUUUUGAACUGUGGGCAUUUCAGGCCAGCGGACUCUAGGCAGCUCUUCUACAGGGUUGAAGGGGCAACCAGAAAGUUGCAACAUUUGUACUUGUCAUAUAUUUGACUUGCCGUUUUCUAAUUUUCCUUACUUUCCUUCCUCAUUCCCUUCCUUCCUUCUGCAUAAACUCACAAGCAAAAUAAGUAAGGCAUUUUUAGGAAGUAAAUGGCAUAUACUUAAAAUACAUAGAAAAAAAUAUCACCAUCUUUAAGGUGUGCAUCUGCCAAAUUUCAAUCAUGUAAGAAAGUAUGCUAAAAAAGUAAACACUUGAUCUUCUGACUCUGAAAGAUUUCCUCCUUUUAGCAUUCCAUUGGGAGUACAUCCAAAAAAAAAAAUUCUCUUCCCUUUCUAAGUAGGUAACCAUUUAGCUUCUGACAUGAAAUAGCUAAUAACCAUCUCUUC